This 1220-nucleotide long non-coding RNA is filed under the name Lactuca sativa (garden lettuce). RNAcentral describes it as "long non-coding RNA (LSAT_LNC005976)". Lineage: Eukaryota; Viridiplantae; Streptophyta; Magnoliopsida; Asterales; Asteraceae. The record is from RNAcentral.
UAAGACUCCCCUUAAGAACUCCAUCAUCUGAUCCCCGCACCUAACUCUGAAUCUCGCCUCAUUCUCCACCGAAGAACAUAAAACAUAAAGUUGGUCUCCCGUACUCUCCCAUGGUGUCUCACUCAAAUUCGUUUCAUGGAAAACCCUAACCACAAAAUCUGAUAGCCUCUGCCAACCACCAUUUUUGCCUUGCUGCUAAACGGACUACCUUCCAUCGUCUGAUAAACUCAACACCACCACUCACCGUUUCUUUCUCUAUCUAUGUUCACCAUAGAAUCGAUGAAAGUCAUAAGGUUCUAUUGAUUUAUUUUUCAGGUAAACUAAAUUUUGAGUGUUUGUUUCCUUUUGGAUUUUCGGUUUAUUUGACUUCAUGCCCACAUUUUAAUUUUCUGCUUUGAUUUAAUGCCUAGGAUCGAUGGAUAAGUUGACCACUUUAAAAAGAAGGAAUCCACUUUAAUUGUAAAUAUCCAUCGAUCUACGCACACACAUGUUUAUAGAUCUAUGUUUUUGUGUGUAGAUCUGAGUUGUAAAUACCUCUUUGUAUAGAUCUUAAAAUGAAUAUCAAGAUUGGUUCCAGGGUCAGUAACAGAGGCGUCGGAGGGAGGUGGUGGCGGCGGUUGUAACGGUGACGAAGCUGGCGUAGAUGGUGUCGGCAACCACCAAGCUCCACCGACGUCAUCCCUUCCUUCAACCACAAGCGGCGUUACCAUUGUUAUUGCAUUCAAGCAUUGAUAAAUGUCAAGACCUCUAAGUCGUAGUUGUUUUUUGAACAUGAAUGAAGGUAAGACUCUUAUAUAUUCAUCUCUAUUAAAGCCCGCCUGUCUGUUUUCUUGGUUGUGAUAAUUUUCGUUUUGAGUCAGAUGCUAUCUGACUUCAUGUGUGUGUUUAUUGGGAUGAAAAUGGGAAAGAACGUGAAAGAAUAGGGCUGAUGGAAUGAAAAUCGGAGUGAUGAACAGGAACAAGAUCACUAACUUAUCUGGUGGUUCAUAUUGGGGAAUUGAUAAUUACCUCUAUAUGGAUUGUGUCUCUUGUUGAUAUAUACAACAAGAAAAAGAGAUGUUUAAAUAUAUACCAGUAUGUCAUAUUUAAAUCUCUUUACAUAUUUAAAAAUCAUUUCAUAAUUAUUUUAGUAAUUUAAGCAUUAUUAUUCAUGUUUGAGAUUUUUUAAAACAAACAUUGUAUAGCAUGAUUAUUUAGCAAGUUAAUAUUGUUCUAAAGAG